GAUAGCCAAUAGGUGGUCGAAUGACAAAUACCAUGGGUAUAUGGUAAUUACAGUAGAUCGGAAUAAGAGCUGGAUACGGCACCAAAAAGGCUUAUAGAAGUGGCUUGAUUUAUCAGUUAAUUAAAAUUAAGAAAAGUUGUUUUAUGUAAUCGGGUUUAUCCCAUAUUAAAAGCUACCUUUAUGAAAUGUGGGUUUAUCCCCAUCUGUGUAAAUAAAUAAAAUCCGGUGUUUCUAAAACUCUAAUAUUUUUCCUAACUCACGGUCCUGAUGAAAUUUCCGCUGCAAUGUUUUUAAAAUAACCACCGGUACCACUUGGCUGCUCACGGCUCCCGAUUCCGUCCAGGGUGGGGUCGGGGGUCGUGACAACCAUUAAUCUAGUUUGGACCUAGGUACAGAGGGUUAGAUCCAAUGUGUUUUGGCAAGCCCCACUCUUGGUCGUAGACCCAUACAGAAGAGUGCGUUUGUGUCCCAGUCGAUGGUAGUCGACACGAAAUCGUCUAGGUUUGGAUUGCUUCCUAUUUCAUCACACAUAUUAAUGUCCUUGCAAAACAUUAAUGAUCAACGAUUUCAUUUGAUGCUUUACAUACU
Molecule: long non-coding RNA, 588 nt
Filed under: Helianthus annuus (common sunflower)
Lineage: Eukaryota; Viridiplantae; Streptophyta; Magnoliopsida; Asterales; Asteraceae
Source: RNAcentral